This 1680-nucleotide small RNA is filed under the name Rattus norvegicus (Norway rat). RNAcentral's name for it is "uncharacterized LOC108351065". Lineage: Eukaryota; Metazoa; Chordata; Mammalia; Rodentia; Muridae. The record is from RNAcentral.
GAAGAAGAAGAAGAAGAAGAAGAAGAAGAAGAAGAAGAAGAAGAAGAAGACGACCACCCUAGGAGGACAUUGCUUUACAUGGUUCUGCUCUAGGCUGCAGCAGACCAAACCAAAAUGGAGUCACUUGUGUCAACUGUCAUCCCUUAGAACCUGUUCUGUGUUCUGGGGAGUCUUGACUGUUUCCUCAGUGUGAUAAUGAAGUUUUUGCUGCUUUAAGCCUUGUGAAAGACCUCCCUGUGUGAUGAACUGGGGGCGUUCAGUUGGUAGUAUUCACCUCGCACGCAUAAAGCCCUAACUUAGGUCCCCAAUGUGGCAUAAAAGUCUUCCAGGGGUUAACCUCUCAGAGUUCGGGCAUUUCCUUGUUCCCUCCUCACAAACCCCGUAGUGUUUUUGCUCUGUCCUUGGCCCAGCAAGAGCUUUCUGUUCUGCUUUGUGGUUGGAAACAGUCUCGAUGCAGGAACCACAAACAAAAUGCUAUUUGGGUCUGCAACGGGAUCUACUUGAGGUACCGAACGUCAUCGUGAACAAGGUGCACUCCAGUCAAGAAGUCCUGAUCAUUACAACGGGUCUGGUUAGGCUUGGGGACCACGGUUACUCAACUCCUCUGUACGCUGUUGAGUUCUGAAGGAGCAGCCCGUUCAGACCUCCUGCUUAGAAGAGUCUGUGCAAGAAUGGGGGCCGUUUCUUCCUUGAAUACGUGGAGAAAGUGGUCUGGUCCGAUGCCUUCUGAGGCAGUUUUUAUCACAUUCCUCAGUGGGCAGCUCCAGGGACCCAUCUAGCUGUGAUCCUAAAGAUGACCACAGUAUCCCUUGUUGCUUUGGGCGUGGCCACUUCUGUCCUUUGUGUCCUGGUUCAGCUUGGAAUUGAUUGUGCUCCCCCGCUGCUCUUCCUGGCGCUUGAAACACUUUCUCUGAAGCCCAGGGCAUUCAUUAAUUUUCUUAUUAGUGUGGCCAAGACAGCCAGGCAGAAACCAAUUACAGGAAGGCAGGCUGACUUCUGACUCACAGUCUGGGAGGUGUGUUAGUCCAUCCUAAAGAGUGUGGUGGAGAUUCUUCCCGAGGUGCAGGGCCUGGAAGCAGAGAGAGCUGGAACCAGGAAUUAUAACUUUCAGAGCACACAGCCGCCAGUCCCCUCGGGAAGGAGGACGUAGCUCUGAGGGUGGAACGCUUGCCUAACACACAAAUCCCCAGGUUCCAUCCCCAGCACCCCACAGAGUAGACACGGGGAAGGGAGCACACCUGUGACCUCGGCUCUCUCCAGAGGUGGAGGCAGGGGGAUCAGGUUCAAGAUCACCCGCAGCCACGCAAAAAAUUUGAGGCCAGCCUGGGCUACAGGAGUGAGACGCUAAAACGAAACAAAGUUUACCCGAAAGUGACCUAGUUCUUAGAGCUCCACAGCCUUCAAGAUGGCAUCACAAGCUCGAGACCAAGAAUUCAAAACACCGGCCUCAGAAGAACAUUCUAGAUCCAAACUAUAACACCUGUAUGGGCCACAAAUUCCCGGGCUCUAGUGAUUCUCCCACCUCAGCCUCCUGAACUCUGACACUACCGACAUGACACUUGGCUUCUCCUCUUGUCUCAGCCACUCCUGCUGGGAUACGUAUUCACUUUCCCUGGUAUUUUCAAAGGACUAAUAGUAUUUCUAAUUGUUCAUUCUUUCUAUUGUAUAUUUCAUAUCUUA